Non-coding RNA from Pelobates cultripes (western spadefoot toad), 340 nucleotides. The record is from the annotation of a GenBank genome assembly. Lineage: Eukaryota; Metazoa; Chordata; Amphibia; Anura; Pelobatidae.
CCGUGUUGCUGUAGCGCUCUGCUAGCUACCUUAACAUACUAAAGGGCAACCGUCCCGAUCAGCAAUAAGUAGCCAAACUACCAAGUAGGGAAUGCCUCGUUCCCUAAAAUAUGCUGUUAUGGGAGCGUUUUGAAGAGCAAUUAAAUCUCUUCAAUCCACUUAUGGCGUAUUUUCAGAAAACAUCUUGAAGGGCCGUAAUAGGGAUAUGUGGGAAUAUAUCUCUGUGAUCUAUAUACAACAUGAAAUUCCUUGCUGAAGAAUCAGAGUUACAGAGAGGAACCAAUUAAUUUAAAUUUAUAACUGGUUUAAAGGAAUGAUCAGAGGUUGAUAACCAGGAGAU